UGGAUUAGGCAUGCAAGUCGAACGAGGUCCAUGCGGUGGCAACACCGCGGAAGACCUAGUGGCGAACGGGUGAGUAACACGUGAGGAACCCACCCCGAAGACCGGGAUAACCCUCCGAAAGGAGGGCUAAUACCGGAUGCCCUCACCGGAUCGCAUGGUCUGGUGAGGAAAUGGAUUUCCGCUUCGGGACGGCCUCGCGGCCUAUCAGCUUGUUGGUGGGGUAACGGCCCACCAAGGCGACGACGGGUAGCUGGUCUGAGAGGACGGUCAGCCACACUGGGACUGAGACACGGCCCAGACUCCUACGGGAGGCAGCAGCGGGGAAUAUUGCGCAAUGGGCGAAAGCCUGACGCAGCAACGCCGCGUGAGGGAUUGAAGGCUCUCGGGUUGUAAACCUCUUUCAGCAGGGACGAUUGUGACGGUACCUGCAGAAGAAGCCCCGGCCAACUACGUGCCAGCAGCCGCGGUAACACGUAGGGGGCGAGCGUUGUCCGGAUUUAUUGGGCGUAAAGAGCUCGUAGGCGGUUUGGUAAGUCGGGUGUGAAAACUCUGGGCUCAACUCAGAGACGCCACCCGAUACUGCCAUGACUUGAGUCCGGUAGGGGAGUAUGGAAUUUCCGGUGUAGCGGUGAAAUGCGCAGAUAUCGGAAGGAACACCAGUAGCGAAGGCGGUACUCUGGGCCGGUACUGACGCUGAGGAGCGAAAGCGUGGGGAGCGAACAGGAUUAGAUACCCUGGUAGUCCACGCCGUAAACGUUGGGCACUAAGUAGAGGGGUUUU
RNAcentral lists this ribosomal RNA (780 nucleotides) under uncultured bacterium. RNAcentral's name for it is "bacterial SSU rRNA". It matches the Rfam family "Bacterial small subunit ribosomal RNA", at positions 45 to 832 of the family's 1533-position model. The record is from RNAcentral.